UUAAUUGAAACCAAAAAGAGGUAUACCACUGUUAAUGGUAAAACUGAGCCAAAAUUCCAAUUAAA
Molecule: transfer RNA, 65 nt
Filed under: Morphostenophanes sinicus
Lineage: Eukaryota; Metazoa; Arthropoda; Insecta; Coleoptera; Tenebrionidae
Description: tRNA-Asn
Source: RNAcentral